UAUAAACCGGGGGAAAGCGGUGCCGAGAUCGUUUUCUUCGGGACUUGGUCAUCUUUAAAGUAACAGUUUCGCUUGGUGGUUUAGAAUCUAGGCUUUGGAGUCAGACCUAGGUUAAGUCCUACUCUGACACCAUCUGCGUGAUCUUGAACAAGUUUUUUAACCUGAAUUCAGUAGUAAAAUGAGGAUAACUACGGAACCCCUUCCGGGUUGUUGGGAAGAUUAGAUGUAGACUUUCAACACAAUGCCUGGCACAGUAAGCUUCCCAAAAUGAUAGCAGCUGGUAGUAAUAAUGUGUCAAUCAAGAGAGACCCAGAGAUGAUGGAUCUGGCUUUCCUUUGGACAGAGCCUUAGGUUUGAGAGGAGAACACCUGCAUUCAAACGCUCACUUGCUGUGUGAGCUCAGGCAAAGGCAGCGCCUGGUACCAAGACCAACUGUGAUCCUGGCUGAAAGAGGGGUGCUUAAGAAAGCACAGAAAGAAUGGAAAGCCCGGACCCAAGAGUGAGGAGCAGCAGGCAGUUUAUAGAUGAGACAACGAAGGCAUGGAGAUGUUAAGUAACCUGUUCAAGGCGACAAGAACGAAAGCAGUGUCUGAGCUGAGGGAGGUGUUCUUCUCAGUGUUUGGGGCUGUUCGGACCACAUCUGGAGCCUGUGCCCACUUCCGGACACCACCGAGGGAACUGGAGCCAGGGUGUGGCCAGAUUGGAGGGAAGGGCUAGGAACCCUAUCAUGGAAGAAAUGCUGAGAGGGAGGCCAAUGCAGAAGGUUCGUGAUCAAGGUGCCAAUCUCCAAAGGACUUGUGGGGCGGCGGGCACAGAGGUGGGCUGCAGCCUUUGUGUUCUCACUGAGCUGGAGAUCCACGGCAGCCUCACUGGGCAGGGUUUCUUCUCCCUUCAGAUCACCAGGCCCAGGUCUACACUCAUGGCCUUCUCUCGUGGCCCCACGUCUCUCUGGAGUGGAAGACAGAAGUGGCCACAGGAUGAGAAUCUGACCCAAGGUCCACGCUUCUGGGACAGGAAUGCACCAAAGACCCUGCAGGGAAGCAAAUUCAAGUUGUCAUGGGGCCCACGCUGGCAAUGCAAACAAGUGAAGCUAGUUGGGCACUGGCCUUUUAAAUGUACAGAAAUAGUUUCACGUCCACAGAUAAAUAUGUUGAGCCUAUUUUCCUUACAACAAAUGACUUGGUCUUUUAUUUUUCCUUUUUGA
Long non-coding RNA from Myotis davidii, 1204 nucleotides. RefSeq lists it as uncharacterized. Lineage: Eukaryota; Metazoa; Chordata; Mammalia; Chiroptera; Vespertilionidae. The transcript is spliced from 3 exons. The record is from RefSeq and is a predicted model, not a curated record.